AGAUGGGACUAAGGUAUGCUAAUCGAACGACCAGAACUAUGUCUGGGAGUGGCACACUGCUCAGUAACACGUAGCUAACCUACCCUUAGGACGUGGAUACCCCCGAGAAAUUGGGGUUAAUCCGCGAUAGAUGUAAUGUCCUGGAAUGGUAUUACGUCUAAAGGUAUUUCAUACAUGUUUGAAAUAUGCCUAAGGAUGGGGCUGCGGCCGAUCAGGCUGUUGGUGAGGUAAUGGCUCACCAAACCUUUGACCGGUACGGGCCAUGAGAGUGGUAGCCCGGAGAUGGACACUGAGACAAGGGUCCAGGCCCUAAGGGGCGCAGCAACCGCGAAACCUCCACAAUGCACUCACGUGCGAUGGGGCUAUCUCGAGUGCCACCUGAUGAAGGUGGCUUUUCCUUGGUCUUCAAAGCCUUGGGAAUAAGAGGGGGGCAAGACUGGUGUCAGCCGCCGCGGUAACACCAGCCCCUCGAGUGGUGGGGAUGAUUAUUUGGCCUAAAGCGUCCGUAGCCGGCCGUGAAAGUCUUCCGUUAAAUCCAGCGUCUCAAGCGUUGGACCGCGGGAGAUACUACAUGGCUAGAGAGUGGGAGAGGUCAGCGGUAUUCUGGGGGUAGGGGCGAAAUCCUUUGAUCCCCGGAGGACCACCAGUGGCGAAGGCUGCUGACUAGAACACGUCUGACGGUCAGGGACGAAAGCUGGGGUAGCGAACCGGAUUAGAUACCCGGGUAGUCCCAGCCGUAAACGAUGCAUGCUAGGUGUUGGGUUGGCCACGAGCCACCCCAGUGCCGCAGGGAAGCCGUUAAGCAUGCCGCCUGGGAAGUACG
This 823-nucleotide ribosomal RNA is filed under the name uncultured archaeon. Its description in RNAcentral is "bacterial SSU rRNA". It matches the Rfam family "Archaeal small subunit ribosomal RNA", at positions 36 to 839 of the family's 1478-position model. The record is from RNAcentral.